UCGAAAGACAUUCAUUCAAGAGAUCCUAACGUGAUUAUCGUAAAUAGCUGGAAUUGUAGAUAUUUACAAUGACAUAGAUCAUUUUUCUUCGACGUAAUUACGGCCUAAUGUCGAGACAAGAAUAAUAUGACGCUGAUCUGUGUUUUGACAAGAAUAUGAAUGAUCUUAAGAAAAGGCUUCGCUGAAUCAAUUGGAAGACAGCGUCUUCAAUUGUCCUACUAAAUUCUUUACGGAUGACAUCUGGGUCUGGGGAGAUCAUGCAAAAAAAUAAGACAUCAUUUAUAACUUUCAACCUUCCGCUCACAGGACAAAUUCUCGAAGACGCUACGAAAAGAUGCUGAGCUUGAUCAUAAUUCUUCAGGCUCCCAAUUCAAGAAUACAAUUACUUAGCGUGGGUGCUUCUGCUCAGUCUUCGUUUCCUAUCUCCACAUACGAAUCACUCGCUUGUUACUAAUUCGAAUAAUUUACUGCUGUAAGGAGUCGUACCGCCAACUAAAUCUGAAUAACAAUUUGGCUGCUAGAAGUCAAAAAGUAGGCGCUGCAAUGAUUAUGUGGUAUGAUCAGAUUGUGUCGCAACAUUCAGCGGGGUUUUGACUCAAUGGGACCGCUGCUAAUAAAGUGUUUAACUAGCGAAUUUUGGAACACACCCGUUGACAAAAGUAUAAGGAGUCUCUUUCCGUGAGUUCCCCUCUUCCUCUCACUGCACUUCAACUAUGCCUUAUAGCAACCAAGAAGCUAGAAAAUGCCAACUAUUAAAAAGAUAACCUCUUUGGAAUCAAAUAAAACGGAGAUUAUCUUGGGAUCUAUUUCACAAAUUUACGGCUAAUUGGAAUGAACAGCGCCAAGUAGCACUGGACAAACUGCAGAGAGUAUUAGAACUUGCUUUAUUCCGUAUAUCGUACUUUAGGUCGUCAGUUUUACCACUUCGGUACGCAAAUGAAAAUAAAAAGCUCAUUCACAACUUAGACACAAUUUCGCCGUUUACAAGUAGCUGAAAAGUCCAUCUAUCGAAUUAUGAAUGAUACUAUUUUAAAUAUCGUCGUUACUGCACUCGUUUUCCACGUUCUUUUUAUCCACACAUCCGAUGUUUUAUUUACAGUUGAGCAUCUCAGGGCCAGCGACAAAUAUAAACAUAUUAUACUCAAAAUGAAGCUCGUUGAAAAGAGAAUAUUUCUUAACCUCUUUUACAGUGCUUUCAACACCUUUUCACCUGUGUGCCAUGUCAGAUUAAGGAUGCUCAACUUUUCGAAUUAUUAUUACAAAUUUCAAAGAAAUUACUAGUCCUUUUUGUCCCCUAAUGUAUCCCUCAUUUCAUACCGUCGUUUUGGGGUUCCAACUACGUAUAGCUUUCAAGUGUGGUUUUACGGUAAGAACAACCCCCCAUCGGUUGGUGCGGAAUACUUUCCUAUUCUCAUCGAGAGCCGAGCCAUACACCUAAGGUGGACAGAAAGCUAAAAUUCCAAAACAGAAAAAUCUAACAUCUUUGCUCCCUUACAAGUAGGAACGCUGGCGUAUCAACCCGUCUCCAGAUUUGCCCAGCAUUUCUGUAGAACACCCAAUGCGAAUGAAGACUAAUGAAUAUUGUAAAGACAAAAAAUAGGAAAAGUUUAAUUAGUGAUGGUUCUCACCACCCCAAAACGGUCACUUGCAUGCAUUGAGGACAUGCACCUGCAGUACUUGUUUUUCUCGAAUGUUUUUACCAUCUCUUUUUUCCUUAUCUGAGCUACUGACGCAGACGGACAUUGUUUCAUAUUUCGAAAGCUGUGCGGGAAAACGGAUCCUAACACGAAUGUGAAUGCGCUAAUCAAUAUUUCCACCACAUGAAACCUGCUACUUUUUCAGUCCUCUUCGUAUGCAUUUCCCAAAAUUCAUUCGUAGCCUUGUCAACUUAGACUCAGUUCCACGGCGUGCAGGACGGGGUAUUAUGAAUAAAAGGAUCCACGGGUGAGAUUUGUUCUGUGUUUUAGGUAUGGAGUUUUGUACCACAAAACUUUAGGAAUACCGGAUUUUGUGCCUACGCCAGCCCCAGAGUAUGUUCUCACAGCUGUAAUUCCUAGUGAUCUUUUCCUGGCUCCAAUAGGAACGCCGGUAGGCAAAUUAAACUUUUGCGGCAGGAAAAAAAAGGCUUUUUCUUUUUUGCCUUUCAGUUUCUCGGAAUGUGGCAUCACAUAAGCAUAAUCCUUUUUGGGUGUGCCUGGAAAGUUCAAAUUAAGGUUUUUUUCUUCUGUUUUCUUGGCAAGAAAAUGUCGCCCAAAGAGUUUCGGCCGUUAUUUUUCCUAUCGAAGUGGGUCCUUUUUGUCUUUAGUCCUUCUCUGGGGCUAGCGAUCACUGCAAAAUUAGGCUUCACUGGUACGAGUUAACUUUUUUUCUUUUUUUUUGUCAUCCUUUUCUUUGGGGCUAAGAAUACCCAAUGCGAAUGAAGACUAAUGAAUAUUGUAAAGACAAAAAAUAGGAAAAGUUUAAUUAGUGAUGGUUCUCACCACCCCAAAACGGUCACUUGCAUGCAUUGAGGACAUGCACCUGCAGUACUUGUUUUUCUCGAAUGUUUUUACCAUCUCUUUUUUCCUUAUCUGAGCUACUGACGCAGACGGACAUUGUUUCAUAUUUCGAAAGCUGUGCGGGAAAACGGAUCCUAACACGAAUGUGAAUGCGCUAAUCAAUAUUUCCACCACAUGAAACCUGCUACUUUUUCAGUCCUCUUCGUAUGCAUUUCCCAAAAUUCAUUCGUAGCCUUGUCAACUUAGACUCAGUUCCACGGCGUGCAGGACGGGGUAUUAUGAAUAAAAGGAUCCACGGGUGAGAUUUGUUCUGUGUUUUAGGUAUGGAGUUUUGUACCACAAAACUUUAGGAAUACCGGAUUUUGUGCCUACGCCAGCCCCAGAGUAUGUUCUCACAGCUGUAAUUCCUAGUGAUCUUUUCCUGGCUCCAAUAGGAACGCCGGUAGGCAAAUUAAGGUUUUUUUCUUCUGUUUUCUUGACAAGAGAAUGUCGCCCAAAGAGUUUCGGCCGUUAUUUUCCUAUCGAAGUGGGUCCUUUUUGUCUUUAGUCCUUCUCUGGGGCUAGCGAUCACUGCAAAAUUAGGCUUCACUGGUACGAGUUAACUUUUUUUCUUUUUUUUUGUCAUCCUUUUCUUUGGGGCUAAGAACGGACUUCCCUUUUCUUUUUCUUUGUUGCAGCAGUGGCUUCAAAGAACUGCUGAUUGCUCAAGGCAAUCAGUCCGAGCGUUUAGAAGGUGAUUGUAGGCAGAAAUUAACUUUGCGGUAAAAGAAUGACAUUCUUUCUUAAAAGAAAAAUUAGCUUUUUUUUGUCAGGCAUUGCACAAACUUUUUUAUUUCUGCCUAUACUCUUAAACAGAUCAGUCAUUCAUGUUGUCUUUUUAACGGUCGUACUGGGACAUCACAUGCCUUGGGAUUCCGUAAUUAGGUGCAACAAUACGGGCACAACUCAUUCUGCGCUAUCUUCACGGACAGAACUUCUAUUGCCUAUCGGUGGUGUGAUUAACAAUUGGAAGCGCAGAGCUUGGAAUGGAUUUCCAAUUCAAUGGAUUUGGAGGUAUUCGUUUGUUUACUAAUAUUUACUUUGAGGACAUUGCCCAACCCUAAAAGUGCCUGUUCCAGAAUAGAAUAACAUUAUGAUACGUUUUCUUGACCGCUGAGCAAUUUAAAGCAAUUAUUAGGGUACGAUUGUUUCUAGAGAAAUGUGGGUCAUCUUUUUAGGUCCGUUCUCUUCUGAUGAGGUAACCUUUACAAAAAUGUCAUAGAGUUACCAAUUGGGAUUCAAGGCAUCAUCGCAAUAUACUUCGUUCUCUUACGGAGAAAUUAAGCACUUUCUACUUUGAAUUAACUGUUAGACUUGUCUUAUCUGAGGAAUGUCCGUGUUCAAAUUAAAUAAAAAUUUAGGGCAGUUUUAUUUACCUUAACAAAUAUGUUCAAGCAUGUACGU
RNAcentral lists this small RNA (3941 nucleotides) under Saccharomyces cerevisiae YJM972. Its description in RNAcentral is "ICR1". Lineage: Eukaryota; Fungi; Ascomycota; Saccharomycetes; Saccharomycetales; Saccharomycetaceae. The record is from RNAcentral. RNAcentral also lists the same sequence under 2 other names.